UUUUUCCUAAAGCGUGCCCGGGUUA
This 25-nucleotide microRNA is filed under the name Meleagrid alphaherpesvirus 1 (Turkey herpesvirus). Its description in RNAcentral is "hvt-miR-H7-5p". Its record names the gene hvt-miR-H7-5p. The record is from miRBase by way of RNAcentral. Lineage: Duplodnaviria; Heunggongvirae; Peploviricota; Herviviricetes; Herpesvirales; Orthoherpesviridae.